UACGUAGGGGGCAAGCGUUGUCCGGAUUUAUUGGGCGUAAAGAGCGUGUAGGCGGCUUUACAGGUCCGUUGUGAAAACUCGAGGCUCAACCUCGAGACGCCGGUGGAAACCGUAAAGCUAGAGACCGGAAGAGGAGAGUGGAAUUCCUGGUGUAGCGGUGAAAUGCGCAGAUAUCAGGAGGAACACCCGUGGCGAAAGCGGCUCUCUGGGACGGUACUGACGCUGAGACGCGAAAGCGUGGGGAGCAAACAGG
This 253-nucleotide ribosomal RNA is filed under the name uncultured bacterium. RNAcentral describes it as "partial 16S ribosomal RNA". It matches the Rfam family "Bacterial small subunit ribosomal RNA", at positions 524 to 776 of the family's 1533-position model. The record is from RNAcentral.